This 253-nucleotide ribosomal RNA is filed under the name uncultured bacterium. RNAcentral's name for it is "partial 16S ribosomal RNA". It matches the Rfam family "Bacterial small subunit ribosomal RNA", at positions 524 to 776 of the family's 1533-position model. The record is from RNAcentral.
GACGAACCGUGCGAACGUUGUUCGGAAUCACUGGGCUUAAAGGGCGCGUAGGCGGACCGGCGAGUCAGGGGUGAAAGCCCGCGGCCCAACCGCGGAAGUGCCCCUGAUACCGCCGGCCUUGAGGGGGAUAGGGGCGUGCGGAACUUCGGGUGGAGCGGUGAAAUGCGUAGAUAUCCGAAGGAACACCGGUGGCGAAGGCGGCACGCUGGGUCCCUACUGACGCUGAGGCGCGAAAGCCAGGGGAGCGAACGGG